RNAcentral lists this ribosomal RNA (902 nucleotides) under Lacticaseibacillus rhamnosus. RNAcentral's name for it is "bacterial SSU rRNA". It matches the Rfam family "Bacterial small subunit ribosomal RNA", at positions 579 to 1479 of the family's 1533-position model. Lineage: Bacteria; Bacillati; Bacillota; Bacilli; Lactobacillales; Lactobacillaceae. The record is from RNAcentral.
UUUUUUAAGUCUGAUGUGAAAGCCCUCGGCUUAACCGAGGAAGUGCAUCGGAAACUGGGAAACUUGAGUGCAGAAGAGGACAGUGGAACUCCAUGUGUAGCGGUGAAAUGCGUAGAUAUAUGGAAGAACACCAGUGGCGAAGGCGGCUGUCUGGUCUGUAACUGACGCUGAGGCUCGAAAGCAUGGGUAGCGAACAGGAUUAGAUACCCUGGUAGUCCAUGCCGUAAACGAUGAAUGCUAGGUGUUGGGGGGUUUCCGCCCUUCAGUGCCGCAGCUAACGCAUUAAGCAUUCCGCCUGGGGAGUACGACCGCAAGGUUGAAACUCAAAGGAAUUGACGGGGGCCCGCACAAGCGGUGGAGCAUGUGGUUUAAUUCGAAGCAACGCGAAGAACCUUACCAGGUCUUGACAUCUUUUGAUCACCUGAGAGAUCGGGUUUCCCCUUCGGGGGCAAAAUGACAGGUGGUGCAUGGUUGUCGUCAGCUCGUGUCGUGAGAUGUUGGGUUAAGUCCCGCAACGAGCGCAACCCUUAUGACUAGUUGCCAGCAUUUAGUUGGGCACUCUAGUAAGACUGCCGGUGACAAACCGGAGGAAGGUGGGGAUGACGUCAAAUCAUCAUGCCCCUUAUGACCUGGGCUACACACGUGCUACAAUGGAUGGAACAACGAGUUGCGAGACCGCGAGGUCAAGCUAAUCUCUUAAAGCCGUUCUCAGUUCGGACUGUAGGCUGCAACUCGACUACACGAAGUCGGAAUCGCUAGUAAUCGCGGAUCAGCACGCCGCGGUGAAUACGUUCCCGGGCCUUGUACACACCGCCCGUCACACCAUGAGAGUUUGUAACACCCGAAGUCGGUGAGCGUAACCCUUUUAGAAGUGCGACCGUCUAUGUGGACAAAUGAGUACA